RNAcentral lists this ribosomal RNA (253 nucleotides) under uncultured bacterium. RNAcentral's name for it is "partial 16S ribosomal RNA". It matches the Rfam family "Bacterial small subunit ribosomal RNA", at positions 524 to 776 of the family's 1533-position model. The record is from RNAcentral.
UACGUAGGGGGCAAGUGUUGUCCGGAAUCAUUGGGCGUAAAGCGCGUGUAGGCGGUCCGGUAAGUCCGCUGUGAAAGUCGGGGGCUCAACCCUCGGAUGCCGGUGGAUACUGUCGGGCUUGAGUACGGAAGAGGCGAGUGGAAUUCCUGGUGUAGCGGUGAAAUGCGCAGAUAUCAGGAGGAACACCAAUUGCGAAGGCAGCUCGCUGGGACGUUACUGACGCUGAGACGCGAAAGCGUGGGGAGCAAACAGG